CCCUGGUUAGCUCAGUUAGUAGAGCGCUCCACUGGAAAUGGAGAGGUCCCGGGUUCGAUACCCGGACCAGGCA
This 73-nucleotide transfer RNA is filed under the name Ixodes scapularis (black-legged tick). RNAcentral describes it as "tRNA-Ser". It matches the Rfam family "tRNA". From Rfam's summary of the family: Transfer RNA (tRNA) molecules are approximately 80 nucleotides in length. Their secondary structure includes four short double-helical elements and three loops (D, anti-codon, and T loops). Further hydrogen bonds mediate the characteristic L-shaped molecular structure. tRNAs have two regions of fundamental functional importance: the anti-codon, which is responsible for specific mRNA codon recognition, and the 3' end, to which the tRNAs corresponding amino acid is attached (by aminoacyl-tRNA synthetases). tRNAs cope with the degeneracy of the genetic code in two manners: having more than one tRNA (with a specific anti-codon) for a particular amino acid; and 'wobble' base-pairing, i.e. permitting non-standard base-pairing at the 3rd anti-codon position. Lineage: Eukaryota; Metazoa; Arthropoda; Arachnida; Ixodida; Ixodidae. The record is from RNAcentral.